UUCAUACUCCUUCCGCCUGAAAAAGCUUGUCUCUCAAAUGGAUGUAUCUAGCACCAAGUUAGUGCUAGAUACAUCCAUUUGAGGGACAAGCUUGGGACAAGCUUUUUCGGACGGAGGGAGUACAAC
Molecule: non-coding RNA, 126 nt
Organism: Triticum aestivum (bread wheat)
Lineage: Eukaryota; Viridiplantae; Streptophyta; Magnoliopsida; Poales; Poaceae
Source: Rfam